CCUACGGGAGGCAGCAGUAGGGAAUAUUGCUCAGUGGGGGAAACCCUGAAGCAGCAACGCCGCGUGGAGGAUGAAGGUUUUCGGAUUGUAAACUCCUAUUGUCAGAGAAGAUAAUGACGGUAUCUAACGAAUAAGCACCGGCUAACUCCGUGCCAGCAGCCGCGGUAAUACGGAGGGUGCAAGCGUUACUCGGAAUCACUGGGCGUAAAGAGAGCGUAGGCGGGAUAGCAAGUCAGAUGUGAAAUCCUAUGGCUUAACCAUAGAACUGCAUUUGAAACUGUUAUUCUAGAGUAUGGGAGAGGUAGGUGGAAUUCUUGGUGUAGGGGUGAAAUCCGUAGAGAUCAAGAGGAAUACUCGUGGCGAAGGCGACCUGCUAGAACAUGACUGACGCUGAGGCGCGAAAGCGUGGGGAGCAAACAGGAUUAGAUACCCCUGUAGUC
This 440-nucleotide ribosomal RNA is filed under the name uncultured bacterium. RNAcentral describes it as "partial 16S ribosomal RNA". It matches the Rfam family "Bacterial small subunit ribosomal RNA", at positions 338 to 795 of the family's 1533-position model. The record is from RNAcentral.